Daphnia magna is the source of this 1290-nucleotide long non-coding RNA. RefSeq lists it as uncharacterized. The record is from RefSeq and is a predicted model, not a curated record. NCBI's taxonomy places the organism in Eukaryota, Metazoa, Arthropoda, Branchiopoda, Diplostraca, Daphniidae. The transcript is spliced from 4 exons.
ACACGGGUUGAGGUGAGCAUGCUCAGCCAGCCUGCUCAAACGUCAAUGCGCUGCCACCCUGCGCAUAUUUUGUUCCCAAUUCCGAGCGUUCCUGCGGCAGAAGAUCGCAACUCACUCAAAACAAAAGCUGGUGUUCAAUACUGGUUUAACAUUUCAACAUUUAGGAAGCUUUUACAUUUUUAAAAGUUGUGGACAAUAUGGAAGCAGAGAGCUCAGAGAUGGGACAGGUAGACACCGAAGAGGUAGACUUAGGUAGUCAAGAAGCAGUUUUAGAAGACUUUACCAGGAAAUCCUUAGACGGUGAUACAGUACCACCACCAACAAUGACUUAUGGUCGUUUAGUGGAGAGCAACAAGUCUUAGUUGAACAGGUCUGGUCUAUCCAGACAUACCUUGGGAAGAAUUUUAGCCUCGGUGGCUUCUCAGCUGGACUAUAUUGAAAACACAUUUGCUGUAGAGACUAUGUUAUUCACACACAGACCCACUCCAACAAAUUUCCGUUUCACAUCAGUUGCACUGGGAAAAAACUACAAGAAACUGCUUGGAUCUGAAACCGGGAAGAAGAUGCAGGAUGUGAUUCGGGAAGCAGGCAAAAGAUUCCCCAGACCUGACCCAGAAAAACAUUUGGGCUAUAAGAAUAUCUUAGUUAAAGCAGGAAAGCAGCUCCAAGUAGAAGAGGAGAAGUAAGGGAUCUUACCGCUUGUUCCUACCAACAAGAAGAACUACCUGACCAGUCCGUCUUAGAAGAAGUAAUAAGGAGUCCUACCGGUUGUUCUUACCACCAAGAGACCGAUCAAGAGAACGAGCAUUCGCAGAAUUUUCAUACUUCCACUAUUGAGAAUAGUAGCAUAGCCAAAUGCUCCAACUAUCUAUAAGAGUCAAAUCUUGAAGACUAUUUAGUUGAUCCGUCUUCAGUCAAUGAAAAGGCGACAUCGCUGGAAGUAACUUCACUCGAAUCUAGGCACUCUUUAAAUAACUAUAACAAGACGAUGGAUCCUACUGCAUUUUCUGGCGCAAUUACGAGCGAUUGUACUAAUUUGUUGUCUAGUAACGUCUGUACAAUCUGGUAAUGAAUCGUAAUUAAUGCUGUUUUUGUCCUCUCUGAAACCUGUCUGAACUGUACAAUAAGGGCAAAUAAAGAAUAAAAUACCGUGGAAAUAAAACGAGUGAUAUUUUUGUAUUUAUUUGUAAUUGCGUUCGAAUAUUUUUUCGUAAUUACUAGUUAAAUUUACUAAAUUUGUAGUAAGCAAUAGUCAAAUAGUAAUUAUAGUCAGAGUAUUUCAAUGAAAUU